RNAcentral lists this ribosomal RNA (253 nucleotides) under uncultured bacterium. RNAcentral describes it as "partial 16S ribosomal RNA". It matches the Rfam family "Bacterial small subunit ribosomal RNA", at positions 524 to 776 of the family's 1533-position model. The record is from RNAcentral.
UACGUAGGGUGCAAGCGUUGUCCGGAAUUAUUGGGCGUAAAGAGCUCGUAGGCGGCUUGUCGCGUCGGCUGUGAAAACCUGGGGCUCAACCCCGGGCCUGCAGACGAUACGGGCAAGCUAGAAUUCGGUAGGGGAGACUGGAAUUCCUGGUGUAGCGGUGAAAUGCGCAGAUAUCAGGAGGAACACCGGUGGCGAAGGCGGGUCUCUAGGCCUUACCUGACGCUGAGGAGCGAAAGCGUGGGGAGCGAACAGG